RNAcentral lists this ribosomal RNA (254 nucleotides) under uncultured bacterium. RNAcentral describes it as "partial 16S ribosomal RNA". It matches the Rfam family "Bacterial small subunit ribosomal RNA", at positions 524 to 776 of the family's 1533-position model. The record is from RNAcentral.
UACGUAGGGUGCGAGCGUUGUCCGGAAUUAUUGGGCGUAAAGAGCUCGUAGGCGGUGUGUCACGUCGAUCGUGAAAACUUGGGGCUUAACCCUGAGCUUGCGGUCGAUACGGGCAUCACUGGAGUUCGGCAGGGGAGACUGGAAUUCCUGGUGUAGCGGUGAAAUGCGCAGAUAUCAGGAGGAACACCGGUGGCGAAGGCGGGUCUCUGGGCAACAACUGACGCUGAGGAGCGAAAGCGUGGGGAGCGAACAGG